RNAcentral lists this ribosomal RNA (387 nucleotides) under uncultured eukaryote. RNAcentral's name for it is "partial 18S ribosomal RNA". It matches the Rfam family "Eukaryotic small subunit ribosomal RNA", at positions 592 to 975 of the family's 1831-position model. The record is from RNAcentral.
CAGUAGCGUAUGCUAAAGUUGUUGCAGUUAAAAGGCUCGUAGUCGAACUUAUGAACCUGUGAACCUGGCCCAACCUCUAGUAGGUUGCGAGCUGGUGUGCACGGUUCAUUGUUUUGGAGAGCAUGGCUGCCCUUGAUUGGGUUGGUCUUGUGAUUCAAAUCAUUAACUGUGAGUAAAUCAAAGUGUUCAAAGCAGGCUUGAAUGCCUGAAUGGUUCAGCAUGGAAUAAUAAGAUAAGACUUGGGUUUUGUUUUGUUGGCUUACACGAACCAAAGUAAUGAUGAAAAGGGAUAGUUGGGGGUGCUAGUAUUCGGUGGUCAGCGGUGAAAUGCGAGGACCCAUUGAAGACUAACUUAUGCGAAAGCAUUCACCAAGGAUAUCUNCUUUG